Molecule: non-coding RNA, 71 nt
Filed under: Aspergillus clavatus NRRL 1
Lineage: Eukaryota; Fungi; Ascomycota; Eurotiomycetes; Eurotiales; Aspergillaceae
Source: RNAcentral
CUCCAGCAAUGAGCUCGCACCUCAACGCGGUGCUGGAGUCCAGUAGCCAUAUGGCGAAGCUAGGGCGAGCU